RNAcentral lists this ribosomal RNA (475 nucleotides) under uncultured bacterium. RNAcentral describes it as "bacterial SSU rRNA". It matches the Rfam family "Bacterial small subunit ribosomal RNA", at positions 335 to 799 of the family's 1533-position model. The record is from RNAcentral.
ACUCCUACGGGAGGCAGCAGUGGGGAAUAUUGCACAAUGGGGGAAACCCUGAUGCAGCCAUGCCGCGUGUGUGAAGAAGGCCUUCGGGUUGUAAAGCACUUUCAGUAGGGAGGAAGGUAGUGUAGUUAACACCUGCAUUAUUUGACGUUACCUACAGAAGAAGCACCGGCUAACUCCGUGCCAGCAGCCGCGGUAAUACGGAGGGUGCGAGCGUUAAUCGGAAUUACUGGGCGUAAAGCGCAUGCAGGCGGCCUGUUAAGUCAGAUGUGAAAGCCCGGGGCUUAACCUCGGAAUUGCAUUUGAAACUGGCAGGCUAGAGUCUUGUAGAGGGGGGUAGAAUUUCAGGUGUAGCGGUGAAAUGCGUAGAGAUCUGAAGGAAUACCAGUGGCGAAGGCGGCCCCCUGGACAAAGACUGACGCUCAGAUGCGAAAGGCGUGGGGAGCAAAACAGGAUUAGAUACCCUGGUAGCACAGAG